GAUCCUGGCUCAGGAUGAACGCUAGCUACAGGCUUAACACAUGCAAGUCGGGGGGCGAGCAUGAACUUAGCUUGCUAAGUUUGAUGGCGACCGGCGCACGGGUGAGUAACACGUAUCCAACCUGCCGAUGACUCGGGGAUAGCCUUUCGAAAGAAAGAUUAAUACCCGAUGGCAUAGUUCUUCCGCAUGGUGGAACUAUUAAAGAAUUUCGGUCAUCGAUGGGGAUGCGUUCCAUUAGGUUG
RNAcentral lists this ribosomal RNA (242 nucleotides) under uncultured bacterium. RNAcentral's name for it is "partial 16S ribosomal RNA". It matches the Rfam family "Bacterial small subunit ribosomal RNA", at positions 15 to 248 of the family's 1533-position model. The record is from RNAcentral.